GAAAUGCGAUAAGUAGUGUGAAUUGCAGAAUUCAGUGAAUCAUCGAAUCUUUGAACGCACAUUGCGCCCCUUGGUAUUCCAUGGGGCAUGCCUGUUUGAGCGUCAUUUGUACCCUCAAGCUCUGCUUGGUGUUGGGUGUUUGUCCCGUCUCCGCGCGUGGACUCGCCCCAAAGUGAUUGGCAGCCGGCGUACUGGUCCCGGAGCGCAGCACAUGUCGCGCAAACGAGUGCCUUGGUACGUCGGCGUCCAUAAGCCCCUCUCUCACGCUCUUGACCUCGGAUCAGGUAGGGAUACCCGCUGAACUUAAGC
This 309-nucleotide unclassified non-coding RNA is filed under the name plant metagenome. RNAcentral describes it as "partial contains 5.8S ribosomal RNA, internal transcribed spacer 2, and large subunit ribosomal RNA". The stretch from base 1 to 105 matches the Rfam family "5.8S ribosomal RNA", at positions 50 to 154 of the family's 154-position model. The record is from RNAcentral.